This 406-nucleotide ribosomal RNA is filed under the name uncultured bacterium. RNAcentral describes it as "partial 16S ribosomal RNA". It matches the Rfam family "Bacterial small subunit ribosomal RNA", at positions 29 to 526 of the family's 1533-position model. The record is from RNAcentral.
AUUGAACGCUGGCGGCAGGCCUAACACAUGCAAGUCGAGCGAGCGGCGGACGGGUGAGUACUGUCUGGGAAACUGCCUGAUGGCGGGGGAUAACUACUGGAAACGGUAGCUAAUACCGCAUACCAUCAGAUGUGCGCAGAUGGGAUUAGCUAGUCGGUGGGGUAACGGCUCACCUAGGCGACGAUCCCUAGCUGGGCUGCGAGGAUGACAAGCCAAAAUGGAACUGAGAAACGGUCCAGACGCCUACGGGAGGCAGCAGUGGGGAAUAUUGCACAAUGGGCGCAAGCCUGAUGCAGCCAUGCCGCGUGUGUGAAGAAGGCCUUCGGGUUGUAAAGCACUUUCAGCGGGGAGGCGUUAACCGCAGAAGAAGCACCGGCUAACUCCGGGCCAGCAGCCGCGGGAAUUC